AACGAACGCUGGCGGCGCGCCUAACACAUGCAAGUCGAACGAGAAGCUGUAGCAAUACAGUUGUACAGUGGCGAACGGGUGAGGAAUACAUGGGUGACCUACCCUCGAGUGGGGAAUAACCAGCCGAAAGGUUGGCUAAUACCGCGUACGUUUCCCAGUCUGCGGAUUGGGAAGGAAAGCGAUGCCGUGGGUAUCGCGCUCAAGGUUGGGCUCAUGUCCUAUCAGCUGUUGGUGAGGUAACGGCUCACCAAGGCAACGACGGGUAGCUGGUCUGAGAGGACGAUCAGCCACACUGGCACUGCGACACGGGCCAGACUCCUACGGGAGGCAGCAGUGAGGAAUAUUGCGCAAUGGGCGAAAGCCUGACGCAGCGACGCCGCGUGGGGAUGAAGGUCUUCGGAUUGUAAACCCCUUUCGGGAGGGAAGAUGGGACGAGCAAUCGUUCGGACGGUACCUCCAGAAGCAGCCACGGCUAACUUCGU
This 482-nucleotide ribosomal RNA is filed under the name uncultured bacterium. RNAcentral's name for it is "bacterial SSU rRNA". It matches the Rfam family "Bacterial small subunit ribosomal RNA", at positions 29 to 506 of the family's 1533-position model. The record is from RNAcentral.